GACGAACGCUGGCGGCGUGCCUAAUACAUGCAAGUAGAACGCUGAAGGAGGAGCUUACUCCUCCGGAUGAGUUGCGAACGGGUGAGUAACGCGUAGGUAACCUGCCUGGUAGCGGGGGAUAACUAUUGGAAACGAUAGCUAAUACCGCAUAACAGUAGAUAUUGCAUGAUAUCUGCUUGAAAGGUGCAAUUGCAUCACUACCAGAUGGACCUGCGUUGUAUUAGCUAGUUGGUGAGGUAACGGCUCACCAAGGCGACGAUACAUAGCCGACCUGAGAGGGUGAUCGGCCACACUGGGACUGAGACACGGCCCAGACUCCUACGGGAGGCAGCAGUAGGGAAUCUUCGGCAAUGGACGGAAGUCUGACCGAGCAACGCCGCGUGAGUGAAGAAGGUUUUCGGAUCGUAAAGCUCUGUUGUAAGAGAAGAACGAGUGUGAGAGUGGAAAGUUCACACUGUGACGGUAUCUUACCAGAAAGGGACGGCUCACUACGUGCCAGCAGCCGCGGUAAUACGUAGGUCCCGAGCGUUGUCCGGAUUUAUUGGGCGUAAAGCGAGCGCAGGCGGUUAGAUAAGUCUGAAGUUAAAGGCUGUGGCUUAACCAUAGUACGCUUUGGAAACUGUUUAACUUGAGUGCAAGAGGGGAGAGUGGAAUUCCAUGUGUAGCGGUGAAAUGCGUAGAUAUAUGGAGGAACACCGGUGGCGAAAGCGGCUCUCUGGCUUGUAACUGACGCUGAGGCUCGAAAGCGUGGGGAGCAAACAGG
RNAcentral lists this ribosomal RNA (763 nucleotides) under uncultured Streptococcus sp. RNAcentral describes it as "bacterial SSU rRNA". It matches the Rfam family "Bacterial small subunit ribosomal RNA", at positions 28 to 776 of the family's 1533-position model. The record is from RNAcentral. Lineage: Bacteria; Bacillati; Bacillota; Bacilli; Lactobacillales; Streptococcaceae.